AUUGAACGCUGGCGGCAGGCCUAACACAUGCAAGUCGAACGGCAGCGGGGGAUAGCUUGCUAUCCUGCCGGCGAGUGGCGGACGGGUGAGCAAUGCUUGGGGAGCUGCCCAGUCGAGGGGGAUAACAACUGGAAACGGUUGCUAAUACCGCAUACGCCCUAAGGGGGAAAGGUGGGGAACUUCGGUCCUACCGCGAUUGGAUGCGCCCAUGUGGGAUUAGCUAGUUGGUGAGGUAACGGCUCACCAAGGCGACGCUAGCUAGCUGGUCUGAGCGGAUGACCAGCCACACUGGAACUGAGACACCGUCCAGACUCCUACGGGAGGCAUCAGUGUGGAAUAUUGCACAAUGGGGGAAACCCUGAUGCAGCCAUGCCGCGGGUGUGAAGAAGGCCUUCGGGUUGUAAAGCACUUUCAGUCAGGAGGAAGGGGUGAUGGCUAAUAUCCAUCAUCAUUGACGUUACUGACAGAAGAAGCACCGGCUAACUCCGUGCCAGCCGCCGCAGUAA
Molecule: ribosomal RNA, 506 nt
Filed under: uncultured bacterium
Lineage: Bacteria
Description: partial 16S ribosomal RNA
Rfam family: Bacterial small subunit ribosomal RNA
Source: RNAcentral